GAAUUUUAUAUAGCAUGUUACUGACUUGACCAUAUGCUUAGCAUAUGGUACUUCAGAAAAGUUGGAUGUGUGAUAGUUUGAGGAGUUGAAGAAAUGUAAGAGGGAACACCAUUGAAUGCCAAGUGAACUAUUCCCUUUUUUGGUUUAAGGUUCUAAUUAUAGCAUCUGGAAACUGAAAACGCAUAGGGAACUAUCAGUGAAUGUUGAGCUGUGGAUGUAAUUAUUUUGGUACUUGUCAUUCCCGUUUGAUUGCGACUCUGUUAUACUCUUUAGUGUCCAGAAUUAAGAUAAAUGAUCUUUUAUUCCCAAUGUUUUAUGUAUUUAAUGUUGUUCAUUAACCUUGUAGGCUGUUGCGUGGGUUGUGCUUG
This 368-nucleotide unclassified non-coding RNA is filed under the name Hevea brasiliensis (rubber tree). The record is from RNAcentral. Lineage: Eukaryota; Viridiplantae; Streptophyta; Magnoliopsida; Malpighiales; Euphorbiaceae.